AUGGCUAGAGCGUGGAGGCACCAUUUUCAUGCAAUUUCUCAAGUGUCUGCGCAUCUUUUCAUGGCUCAUUUUAAAUCUCAAGAAUCCAUGAUGUUUGUACUCACGCGUCAGCCGUGGACAAUGGGCUCGGAUAAUCUUCUCAUUGAGUGGAUAGACCCAGUAGAUGAAUCCAAGACAAAGGAAGACUACAAAUUUGAGUGCAUCUAUGUGAGUGUUCGAGUUUAUGGAAUCCUCUCUACUGUCGGGAAGCCAUCUGAAUUUCAUCCUCUGCAAGAAAGCAUGUUGUUUGCUAGACCAGACUAUAUUUGGGGAAUUACUAAGAUUCGAAUAUACGGUUCAGUUGUGGACAAAAUUAACUUGACAUUGGAUGAAAAGACUACUAAAAUGGUCUAUCUUCACUAUGAGAAGAUUGGCAGAAUCUGUUUAUUCUGCAGAGUUAUGUUUCAUACAGUUCAACAUUGCCAGAAGAGGAAUGACAUUAUUAUGGCAAGGGUCAGGAGUGGGAAAUUAGCAGGAGAUAUACCAUUUUUCAUAUAUGGAGAAUGGGUAAUGGAC
Molecule: ribosomal RNA, 555 nt
Filed under: Triticum aestivum (bread wheat)
Lineage: Eukaryota; Viridiplantae; Streptophyta; Magnoliopsida; Poales; Poaceae
Description: partial small subunit ribosomal RNA
Source: RNAcentral